Oenanthe melanoleuca is the source of this 1313-nucleotide long non-coding RNA. RefSeq lists it as uncharacterized. Lineage: Eukaryota; Metazoa; Chordata; Aves; Passeriformes; Muscicapidae. The record is from RefSeq and is a predicted model, not a curated record. The transcript is spliced from 3 exons.
AAGAAUUUUGGUAUGGAAGAAACUCCACAGGUGCCUGGGUCCCCAUUCAGUCCAGUGUGAAGUGCAUUGAAAAAAGAAGGCCUCGCCCAGCACAGCCGAGGAGGAUCACUACACAGAGCUCCAGCCAUAUGAGAAUGGGGAUAAUUACUGCAUGAUCAAGACUUUUCUUGAGAAAGAUGCAGGUAGGAAACGGGUAGUCCUGCCUGUGAACCCCACAUGGCACAGAGAGAGUGGGGACUGCCAGCUCUGAUGGUGUGUCUGAGCUCCUCACGUUGCUGAGGGCAUGCAGCAGCCUCUGCCCUGGGUUCUCUUGUUCUCUCUGAAUGAGGAGAGGAGGUAAAUGUGACCAGGCUGGAGAGCCAUUUCCCAAGCCCCUGCCUGUUCUGGAAUCCUAGGAGAGCCAGAGCAGUGAGGAAGAAGAGCAGCUGGAGUAGACAUCUGAGGCUCAGUGGUGAUGGCACUUCCCUUCUCGAGGCUUGGUCUUCCACCACCAGAAGCUUUGAAUCAUCUCAGGGGUUAUUGCUUCCCCCCAGAUUUUCUCCUUCAUCAGACUCCAGAAUGCUCUGUCACAGCACAGGAGCAGCUCAAGGCAUGGGAUGACCUGCUUGUGCCAGCAAGGAUAUGUCCUGGUAGUUCUGCAGUGCUCUGCCAUAGCCAUCUCACCAGCACCUUGGUGCCUGCAAAUGUCCUCUGAGAAUGAAGGAGCUCACAACUCCUCUUUUCACCCUGUGUCCUUGUAUCCAUCUAGACCCUAUCCUCUGCUUGAGUUUAGCCUAGCUGUGCUGUCCUGUGCUGCUGAGACUGAAACAACCAAUAAAUUGUUCUGGUUUGCAGGGGCUGCCUGGCUCACAAAAACUCCUGCCUUGAUUUGUGUGUGAAGGCCUUGACCCCAUGAAUCUUCGUGCAGGAGCUUGGAGCAGGCUUUUCCAGCCCCUGGCAUCUCCAAGGAAGCACACCCAAGGUGCUGCAUGCUCCCAGUGCAGAGCUUUGAGUGGCUGCUUUCCCUCCUCCUCAUCCUAUAGGUGACACCAUCUCCCCUAUGCACAGCUGGACCUCUGUGCUGGUCUGUCUCUUCCUCUGUGGGUGCUGGUGCUCAUCUCCCAUUUUGGGAGGUGCAGUUGGUCCUCUUGGGACAUCUGUGUCCUGCAGCCUUGGGAUCUGCUGGCUCUUGUCUCUUGGCUGCUGCUGCUGUCCCAUCACCUCCACCACCACUGUCUCCCAGCCUGUGGAAUGCCAGUGCCCAGUGCAGCCUGGAUGCUGAGGCACAGUCCCAAAGCUCUCCUGGGUGAGGGGUGCACUGCUGGCCAAUGGAG